Schistosoma mansoni is the source of this 93-nucleotide small nucleolar RNA. It matches the Rfam family "Small nucleolar RNA U3". Rfam says of the family: Small nucleolar RNAs (snoRNAs) are involved in the processing and modification of rRNA in the nucleolus. There are two main classes of snoRNAs: the box C/D class, and the box H/ACA class. Lineage: Eukaryota; Metazoa; Platyhelminthes; Trematoda; Strigeidida; Schistosomatidae. The record is from Rfam.
AAGAUCGUACUUCUAGGGAUCAGUCCUAUAGUACGUAUCACCAGGACGUCAAACUAAAGAUAGAACGUAUCUAUUCAAUAAUUUGCCCAUAGG